This 1247-nucleotide ribosomal RNA is filed under the name uncultured bacterium. RNAcentral describes it as "bacterial SSU rRNA". It matches the Rfam family "Bacterial small subunit ribosomal RNA", at positions 75 to 1321 of the family's 1533-position model. The record is from RNAcentral.
GUAGCUUGCUACCUGACCUAGCGGCGGACGGGUGAGUAAUGCUUAGGAAUCUGCCUAUUAGUGGGGGACAACAUUCCGAAAGGAAUGCUAAUACCGCAUACGCCCUACGGGGGAAAGCAGGGGAUCUUCGGACCUUGCGCUAAUAGAUGAGCCUAAGUCAGAUUAGCUAGUUGGUGGGGUAAAGGCCUACCAAGGCGACGAUCUGUAGCGGGUCUGAGAGGAUGAUCCGCCACACUGGGACUGAGACACGGCCCAGACUCCUACGGGAGGCAGCAGUGGGGAAUAUUGGACAAUGGGCGAAAGCCUGAUCCAGCCAUGCCGCGUGUGUGAAGAAGGCCUUUUGGUUGUAAAGCACUUUAAGCGAGGAGGAGGCUACUUGGAUUAAUACUCUAGGAUAGUGGACGUUACUCGCAGAAUAAGCACCGGCUAACUCUGUGCCAGCAGCCGCGGUAAUACAGAGGGUGCGAGCGUUAAUCGGAUUUACUGGGCGUAAAGCGUGCGUAGGCGGCUUCUUAAGUCGGAUGUGAAAUCCCUGAGCUUAACUUAGGAAUUGCAUUCGAUACUGGGAAGCUAGAGUAUGGGAGAGGAUGGUAGAAUUCCAGGUGUAGCGGUGAAAUGCGUAGAGAUCUGGAGGAAUACCGAUGGCGAAGGCAGCCAUCUGGCCUAAUACUGACGCUGAGGUACGAAAGCAUGGGGAGCAAACAGGAUUAGAUACCCUGGUAGUCCAUGCCGUAAACGAUGUCUACUAGCCGUUGGGGCCUUUGAGGCUUUAGUGGCGCAGCUAACGCGAUAAGUAGACCGCCUGGGGAGUACGGUCGCAAGACUAAAACUCAAAUGAAUUGACGGGGGCCCGCACAAGCGGUGGAGCAUGUGGUUUAAUUCGAUGCAACGCGAAAAACCUUACCUACCCUUGACAUGCCACUAACGAAGCAGAGAUGCAUUAGGUGCUCGAAAGAGAAAGUGGACACAGGUGCUGCAUGGCUGUCGUCAGCUCGUGUCGUGAGAUGUUGGGUUAAGUCCCGCAACGAGCGCAACCCUUGUCUCUAGUUGCUACGAAAGGGCACUCUAGAGAGACUGCCGGUGACAAACCGGAGGAAGGUGGGGAUGACGUCAAGUCCUCAUGGCCCUUAUGGGUAGGGCUUCACACGUCAUACAAUGGUGCAUACAGAGGGUUGCCAAGCCGCGAGGUGGAGCUAAUCCCAGAAAAUGCAUCGUAGUCCGGAUCGUAGUCUGCAACUCGACUACGG